CAAUAAAAGGCCACUCUGAAAUGUUCAAUUUAGACAGAUUUGUGAACAAUAUUUGGGAGGAAUAGGUCUUUUGUGUACAUAGAAAAUGUUUUGGAUCUUUUACGUUCAGCUCAUGAAAAAUGGGAGCAAAAACAAAAGUGUUGCAUUUAUAUUUUUGUUCAGUGUAGAUGAAAUUGACAUUA
Long non-coding RNA from Thalassophryne amazonica, 182 nucleotides. RefSeq lists it as uncharacterized. Lineage: Eukaryota; Metazoa; Chordata; Actinopteri; Batrachoidiformes; Batrachoididae. The record is from RefSeq and is a predicted model, not a curated record. The transcript has 3 exons.